CAGAGGGAGAAGCAGGCUCCCUGCAGGGAGCCUGAUGUGGAGUUGAUCCCAGGACCCUGGGAUCAUGCCCUGGGCCAAAGGCAGAUGCUUAACCACUGGGCCACCCAGGUGCCCCCCAAGAGGGAGUGUUCCACCACACAAGUGGAAUAUGCCAGUCUGCAGGCUGAGAUGCAGACAUUGGUGUGGGGUCACUUCUGCUGUACUCCCUUGAUCUGGUAGUCCGAGUCUACCCCGAUCCAAGGGGAGGGAGCAUAGACCCUACUCCUUGAGGGAGGAGGGUCGAAUUUACGGGCAUCCUGAAGCUAUAAAACUAACCCCAUGAGGUUUUGAGGGAAUUAAUGUAGCUCCCCCAGAACCGCAUCUGACACACAGAAAGUGCUCACAAUCUAUUAUUACCAUUGUUGUUACCAUCAGCAUGGUUAGAACUCCCUGGAUAAGCUCAGAUGACUGACUGGGAGCUUGAGCAGAGCUCAGGGUGGUAGAAGCUUUCAGAAGGAGUAAGCAUUCUGACCACCCUGAGCCAAAGCCCAGCUCCUCUCUGGCUGUGCAACCUCCUGCAGGUCCCUUGACUUCUCUGAUCCACGGUCCCCUGGCCUGUAAGGUGAGAUAACGACACCCAGCUCUGAGGGCAUUUGGAAGUGUUUGGGCAGAUCAUGCCUGGGUAGCAUUUUGCAUGGUUCCUGGCACAGAAGUGGUAAUUAUUGUUAUGAUUCUUAAGCAGGUGAGGUUGCAGGACAAGUUGGGGGUGGGGGCUGGGCAGGGAGCGAGCAGAGCAUUCCAGGUAGGAAACCCGCCUGCAAAUCUGGGAGGGGAGAGAUGGCGCAGAAGAAUGGCAGGAUGUUCAAAGAAUUAGAGGGUGGAGGGCGUGGCCAGAGUGGGUGGGUCUGAAAGGGCCCUUAGAUGUCUCUUGAGGGCACAGGGGAGCCACAGGAGGGGCAGGGACAGAAAGGGUUUAAGUGUGGAUCCAUAGGCUGGCAGAGGCUGGAGGGAGGAGGCUGGAGGAGAGGAUGGGAUCUGUGCUGGGGUCUGGCCAGUGGGAAUGGAGAGGAAGGGGCAGAGGAGGGGGAAGAGAGGAGGGAAGAAGUCUUCCCAACCUGUGCAUAGAUGUGGAAUGGCACUUGAGAUGGAGAGCCCAGGAAGGGGUUGUAUUGGAGGGAAGAUGCUGAGUUUAGUGGGAUGCAGGGCAUUUGAGGCCGUGGGGGGCACAGAGAUGCAACUCUAGGUCUCAGGAGAGGGUGGGAGACAACGAAUUGAGACAUAUUCUGAGAGCAGCAGGGAGCCAUAGGAGGAGUUGAAGCAUUUGGGCAAUUGCAGGUAUCUGAGGCUGCAGGGAGGACAGAGUAGACUGAAAGCCAGAGGGUGGGGAGAAGGAAGGCUGAACUGAGGCCAAGGCCAUCAGAAGUGGGGCUCUCCAAAGGGUCACCUCACCCUCCUCCAAGAAGUCUUCCUGGCUUCUCUUCCCCAUGGGUUUGCUACCCCAUUUCCGCUGGGACUCAGCAGCUUUCACUAUCUUCACCCUGGGUGUGGGGAGUGCAGGGGUCAUAUGGGACCAACUGAUGAGGACCAGUCAGGUGGGGUGGCUGGCUCUGCCACUAGAUUGGGGUUGGGGGAUCCUGGCACCGCCCACUGGGUCUGGCUUCCUUCCCCGCCCAGGAAGCUACCAGUCCUGUCAGACUUGUUGACCAGGGAGGCACUGGAGUCUCGCUCCAGUGUCUUCAGAGGUGCAGCCAGCACCAUGGACACCUCAUGGGCUCUGCUGCUCUUCCUGUUUCUGGCCUCUGGAAGAGAGGUCCUCACCCAUGGAGCCUCUUCUGGAGUUCAGCAAACCAAUUUCUCCUUGGACUCAGAAAGCUCUUCCCAGGGCCCAGGUUCAAAAGUCUCCUACAUCAACCCCCCCAGCUGGAAACUUCCAGAUCAGUUUCCAGGUUCAAAUGCCACGGUUGCUAUCCCUCAUCCCAAAUGGUUUUCCGAGGCCUCAAAUUUUAACGAUGUGCCUAGGUCCGUCUGGUCAAAUGUUUCUGCUGAGGGCCAAAAGUUGAGCCUGGAUCCUACCUUCUCUGAAAUCCCUGAUUCUGAAGUAUUUUCUGAUAUCUUGGGUUCUCAAGUUCCUGCCAAAGACUCAGAGCCCUCCUCUGUUAAGACCCCAGCUUUGAACAUUUCAGCUCCGGUCCCAGCUACUGAAGUACUUAUUGAGACCCCAGGUUCAAAAGCCUCCCCUGAGGAUCAUGAUCUUGAAAUCUCUGCCCAGAAACCUGAGUCCAAAGUAAUUGCAGGAGCCCAGCCAGGGGAAAGCUUCCCCCAGCAGGUGGGGAGGCCUCUUUCGGUGCUAGUGGGGACCACCAUCCAGCUUCCUCUAGUUCCAAUUCCCAGCCCUGGCCCUCCUGCUCCUCUGGUUGUCUGGCGCCGUGGCUCCAAGGUGCUGGCUGCAGGAGGCCUGGGGCCAGGGGCGCCCCUGAUCAGCUUGGACCCUGCUUACCGAGACCGCUUACGAUUUGACCAGGCCCAAGGGGGCCUGGAACUUGCUUCUGCCGGGCUGGAGGAUGCUGGUCUCUACACUGCUGAGGUUAUCCGGGCUGGGGUUUCCCGGCAGAUUCGGGAGUUCACGGUGGGUGUGUAUGAGCCCCUGCCCCAGCUGUCGGUGCAGCCCCACACCCCCGAGACAGAGGAGGGGGCGGCCGAGCUCCGGCUGCGCUGCCUGGGGUGGGGGCCUGGUCGUGGAGAGCUGAGCUGGAGCCAGGACGGACGCACCCUGGAGGCGACAGACCGUGAGGGAGCGGAACCACCCCGGAUCCGCACAGAGGGCGACCAGCUGCUCAUCAUGCGUCCCGUGCGCAGCGACCAGGCCCGGUACACCUGUCGCGUCCGCAGCCCUUUCGGCCACACCGAGGCUGCGGCCGACGUCAGAGUCUUCUACGGCCCGGAUGCGCCGGUCAUCAAGAUCUCCUCGGACCGCGACGCCGCCCCCGCCCUCUUUGUCACUGCGGGCAGCAACGUGACCCUGCGCUGCACCGCCGCCUCGCGGCCGCCCGCCGACAUCGCGUGGAGCCUGGCCGACCCGGCCGAGGCCGCGGUGCCCGCCGGCCCGCGUCUCCUGCUGCCCGCGGUCGGCCCGGGCCACGCCGGCACCUACGCCUGCCUUGCGGCGAACCCGCGCACUGGCCGCCGCCGCCGCUCUCUGCUCAACCUCACGGUGGCGGAUCUGCCUCCCGGGUCCCCGCAGUGUUCAGUCGAAGGCGGUCCAGGGGACCGCAGCCUGCGCUUCCGCUGCGCGUGGCCCGGCGGGGUCCCCGCCGCCUCCCUGCAGUUCCAGGGUCUCCCCGAAGGCGUCCGCGCGGGGCCGGUGGCCUCUGCGCUCCUGGCAGCGGUCCCCGCCCACCCCCGGCUCAGCGGCGUCCCGGUCACCUGCCUUGCCCGCCACCUGAUGACCACGCGCACCUGCACUGUCACCCCUGGGAGAAGGGCCACAAUUUCUUUCCUGGAUCCAGAAAGAGACACCUUCCUACGUGUCCAGUGCAAUAAAUGGUUGAGAAUAAUACGAGUUCCGCAGUCUAGAACCUGGCUGCUAAGGCCCCUCGGGAAGUGCUGCUGCAUCCCACAGUGGAGGAAACACGGUCAGGGGAGGUGGAGGUGGUGCUGCAGGCCACUGGCUGCCCUCCACCAUCGAGAGCCUCUUGGGCCCGGGCAGGGCAGCCUGUGGCCCCAGGAGGUGGGAGUCGCCUGCGGCUCAGCCAAGAUGGGCGCAGGCUCCUCAUUAGCAACUUCAGUCUGGACUGGGACCUGGGAAAUUACUCCGUGUUGUGCAGCGGGGCGCUGGGUGCUGGGGGCAACCAGAUCACUCUCACUGGUCCCCCCCUGGGCUCUGGGGCCAUUGCUGGCAUCGUCCUGGGUUCCCUACUGGGCCUGGCCCUCCUAGCAUUGCUUCUCUACAAGUGCAUCCGCUGCCUGUGCAGUUUUAGGGAAGACACUCUUAAGAAAAACAAGUGUCCUCCCUCCUUGACCCCUGUGGUUCCCCCACCGGAAAAAAAGAUGCAGAGCAUAACCCCAGUGCAGACCCCACAGCCUCUGCCCUUCAAAGUGCCGCUGGAGGACCCUAGCCCAAACAGGGCCCACCAGGUCACUGGCCCCAGUCCAGUCAUCUCUCCGGGUGGGGGCCUAAGGACUGUUCGGGCAGCCACACAGGUGUGACGGGGCCCACUCUGCACAGGACUUUUUGGCAGGACUGGUUGCCUGGAGGACCAAACCUGUGAUUAGAGGAUUGGAAAUUUCAGUUCUACACGCUCCCCACCCCCACCUCCAGGAGGAGGAGGGACUGGAUGUUGAAUCAACCAAUGGCCAGUGGCGUAGUCAAUCAUGACUGUAAAAUGAAGCCUACGAACAAACCCCAGAGGACAGCUCUUUGACCCAUUUCAGCAGAGCUUCUAUGCUGGGGGAACCAGAAUGCCCCCAUGUACCACUAAACUGGGUCCCCAAGCCCCACAACCACAGAGAUUCCUUUGGGAGCUUGCCCUGUGUAUCUCUUCAUCUGGCUGUUGGUUUAUAUCCUUUCUCAUGUCCUUUAAAUAAAAUGUUAAAUGUAA
Molecule: RNA transcript, 4577 nt
Organism: Canis lupus familiaris (dog)
Lineage: Eukaryota; Metazoa; Chordata; Mammalia; Carnivora; Canidae
Gene: VSIG10L
Gene name: V-set and immunoglobulin domain containing 10 like
Exons: 11
Source: RefSeq, a predicted model, not a curated record